CCUCCCUCCAAAGUGUUAUCGAAUUCAACAUAUGUUUUGAUUAUGUAUUUCAAAUUGAAGUACAUAUGUGUUUAUAUUUAUAUGAGCCCAACAGACACUGAGUGUACUCAAGUUGUGAUGUACAUGUCAAUGACUGUUUGUGAAGUCACAAGGAUGACCCAAAUAAUGACCUUUGAGGUCAAAGAAAACAACACAUUUUUC
This 201-nucleotide long non-coding RNA is filed under the name Mytilus galloprovincialis (Mediterranean mussel). The record is from RNAcentral. Lineage: Eukaryota; Metazoa; Mollusca; Bivalvia; Mytilida; Mytilidae.